This 913-nucleotide ribosomal RNA is filed under the name uncultured archaeon. RNAcentral describes it as "partial 16S ribosomal RNA". It matches the Rfam family "Archaeal small subunit ribosomal RNA", at positions 1 to 922 of the family's 1478-position model. The record is from RNAcentral.
UUCCGGUUGAUCCUGCCGGACCUGACUGCUAUCGGAUUGAUACUAAGCCAUGCGAGUCAUUGUAGCAAUACAAGGCAGACGGCUCAGUAACGCGUAGUCAAUCUACCCUAUGGACGAGAAUAACCUCGGGAAACUGAGGAUAAUUCUCGAUAGAUCAUAACUCCUGGAACGGUUUAUGGUAAAAAUGAUUCGUCGCCGUAGGAUGGGACUGCGGCCUAUCAGUUUGUUGGUGAGGUAAUGGCCCACCAAGCCUUUUACCGGUGCGGGCCGUGGGAGCGGGAGCCCGGAGAUGGGUACUGAGACAAGGACCCAGGCCCUACGGGGCGCAGCAGUCGCGAAACCUUUGCAAUAAGCGCAAGCUUGACAGGGCUAUCCCGAGUGCCAUCCGCUGAGGAAGGCUUUUACCCAGUCUAGAACGCUGGGGGAAUAAGGAGAGGGCAAGUCUGGUGUCAGCCGCCGCGGUAAUACCAGCUCUCCGAGUGGUGUGGAUGUUUAUUGGGCCUAAAGCAUCCGUAGCUGGCUAAGUUAGUCCCUUGUUAAAUCCACCGAAUUAAUCGUUGGAUUGCGGGGGAUACUGCUUGGCUAGGGGACGAGAGAGGCAGACGGUAUUUUUGGGGUAGGGGUGAAAUCCUAUAAUCCCGAGAAGACCACCAGUGGCGAAGGCUGUCUGCUAGAACGCGCCCGACGGUGUGGGAUGAAAGCUGGGGGAGCGAACCGGAUUAGAUACCCGGGUAGUCCCAGCUGUAAACGAUGCAGACUAGGUGUUUGGACGGCCACGUGCCGUUCUAGUGCCGCAGGGAAGCUGUUAAGUCUGCCGCCUGGGGAGUACGAUCGCAAGAUUGAAACUUAAAGGAAUUGGCGGGGGAGCACCACAAGGGGUGAAGCUUGCGGUUUAAUUGGAGUCAACGCCGGA